GAUAUACAAAACGCCCAAUAACCCAGGUUCCCACUAUACUAAAAAUGAUGUAUUUGAUCCUUUUCUGGCACACGAGAAUGUACAUACGUGGAAAUGCUAUUUCAUGAUAUUGGGAGUGAUCCCCCACCUUUUAAACUCACUCCCACACUGUACACAAGGAUACUAGAAACCCUUUCAUUUCUUGACUUUAUACAAGAAAUGCAUCUCCAACUCUAUAUAUCUCUAUGAUCCUAGGCUAACAUUCGAAUCGAGGCUUCGAAAUGGAUUCACAAAAAGCAAUAAAAGAAUAUACCACAAUUAUUAUUUUCACACUAGAAAGUCAGGGGACCUUGAUGUAGGUGAUGAUCCUUGGGACCCUAAUUCUUGAAUCUUGGCACCCACUUCAGCUACAACAAGCCUGGUCAGAAACAAACCAGCUAUAAAAGCUGAUCCCAUUAGCAUUGUAAAUACACCACUCCAGCUGUUAGUUGAAAUGUAACCGGUUAGAAGUGGUCCAAUGGCCGCUCCAAUUGAGCCAGUUCCAUCAAUAAUAGCAGUGACAGUUGCAAGCGCUCGCGAAUUACCCUUCAAAGAACUAUGUGUUCCCAAAUCUGCUGAAACAGCAGUUGUUAUCAACGCGUAAGGUCCAUUCACAAACACUCCACUAAUCAACAUGAGGAUGAUGUUUAUAGUCAUGGAGAUUUGUCCGUAGCUUCGAUAUAGGUAUAGAGCUGGGAUAACACAGUACAUAAAGCUAGCUGCUGUUAUUGCUCUAGCAUCCAACUUAUCUGAGAUGUAACCUGCUAAGAUUCCACCUAUUACCCCUCCAACAUCAAACAACGUUGAUAAGUUUCCAGAUUCCUCGUUAGACAAGUAUCGUCCAUCUAUUGCUG
This 872-nucleotide unclassified non-coding RNA is filed under the name Hevea brasiliensis (rubber tree). The record is from RNAcentral. Lineage: Eukaryota; Viridiplantae; Streptophyta; Magnoliopsida; Malpighiales; Euphorbiaceae.